Mesocricetus auratus (golden hamster) is the source of this 527-nucleotide long non-coding RNA. RefSeq lists it as uncharacterized. The record is from RefSeq and is a predicted model, not a curated record. NCBI's taxonomy places the organism in Eukaryota, Metazoa, Chordata, Mammalia, Rodentia, Cricetidae. The transcript is spliced from 3 exons.
CUGACCAGGUACUAUGGACCCAAUCCAGGUCUCUUUUCUAAAUGGUAUGUAAAUGUCCUGAAUGGUCAAAAUUGAAUCAACUCAAGAAGGCAAGCUACCAUGAAGUUGAGAAAAAUGUAGUUUCUAUAAACUUCUAGCUUCUCAAGGCAGAAAAUAUUCACUCUAAGGAGGUCAGAAAGUAAAACGAGCCUUCUGCCAACCACAUCCCAAGUGAUGAAGUUCAGAGAAGUCCUUGUCUGCACAUCUUCUACCAGUGAUUAUUGUAUUGGGUAAUACAUUUCUGCACAUUUUCUAUGGAGUUUCUUCUCUCUGCUUAAUACAGGACCUGCCCAAGAAGAUCCAUUGAAUCUCAGUGUACAGAAACCUUUCUGGUAAAGAGGGUGUCGGUGUCACAAAGCAGAGCUGUGAGUCAGCUGAGCUACCAACUUCCUGGAGGCUGUCACUCAGGCCAGGCUGUGCUUAGGCCUCACCAAACUGGCUUUUCCAGAGUCUGAACUUGACCAACCCCUCCAAAAUUUCCCUGAAAA